Fundulus heteroclitus (mummichog) is the source of this 450-nucleotide long non-coding RNA. RefSeq lists it as uncharacterized. The record is from RefSeq and is a predicted model, not a curated record. The transcript has 2 exons. Lineage: Eukaryota; Metazoa; Chordata; Actinopteri; Cyprinodontiformes; Fundulidae.
GGGGGGGAGGGGGGUUGCUCAGCUGUUGCCACCCACACCCAUCCUUACCACCCACCACCUCCUCAUUCAGCGGUUUUUGAACAAAGAUCCACCCAGACCCGGAAUCCUGUUGUUGAUUCGCGGCCUUGAAGGACAAGCGGGUGUUUUCAACCGUAGGGGAUGCGGAUCCGCAGCCUGCGUCUAGUCCGGCUGGCUUUAUGCGCGUCCCAGAAACACUCUGGAUGCCCAACGGUCUCCUCUUUGUGCUCGGUUUUCCCCGUACAUCAUCCCAUCAUCAUUUUGGCACUUCGGAGAACAACAGCGCCUCCUGUGGCCGUGCUGAAAACCACAAACCCGACACCCAAAGGGAGCCCAAAAGAAAAUCCUGCCUCCAGAUCACCUUUACUUCUUUAAAUAAAUUUGUGGUAAACUCUGUCUGAAUAAAGAAUAGCAAUAUGGCUCGCUUUCAAA